RNAcentral lists this ribosomal RNA (498 nucleotides) under uncultured bacterium. Its description in RNAcentral is "bacterial SSU rRNA". It matches the Rfam family "Bacterial small subunit ribosomal RNA", at positions 899 to 1397 of the family's 1533-position model. The record is from RNAcentral.
ACUCAAAUGAAUAGACGGGGGCCCGCACAAGCGGUGGAGCAUGUGGUUUAAUUCGACGCAACGCGAAGAACCUUACCAAGGCUUGACAUGGAAAUGACCGGGGUAGAGAUACUCCUUCCCUUCGGGGCAUUUCACACAGGUGGUGCAUGGUUGUCGUCAGCUCGUGUCGUGAGAUGUUGGGUUAAGUCCCGCAACGAGCGCAACCCUUAUGUUCAGUAGCCAACGGUUAGAGCCGGGCACACUGGAGAGACUGCCGUGGAUAACACGGAGGAAGGUGGGGACGACGUCAAAUCAUCAUGCCCCUUAUGUCUUGGGCUACACACGUGCUACAAUGGUCGGUACAGCGUGACGCAAAGCAGCGAUGCGGAGCAAAACACGAAAACCGGCCCCAGUUCGGAUUGCAGGCUGCAACCCGCCUGCAUGAAGUCGGAAUCGCUAGUAAUCGCGAAUCAGCAUGUCGCGGUGAAUACGUUCCCGGGCCUUGUACACACCGCCCGU